The submitters of this non-coding RNA (61 nucleotides) gave its source as unclassified sequences. The record is from Rfam.
CUGUAAAGAUAUGUUUGGCUGUAGGGUCUAUUCUUAGGGAAACCUGAGGCAUAUCGAGGAA